ACAAUAGGGAAUUUAUUAUCUCACAUAUCAGGAAUUCCAGGGGGCAGGGCGGAUCCAAAGCUUGUUGAAUUAGCCAUUCAACAAUGGCAUUCAGGAAGAGUGUCUAUGUCUCUGCUCUGCCAUCGCCGGUUGGAUUCUUUCUCGGGCUGGCGACAAGAUGGUGGGAGCAGUUGCGAGCAUAAUAUCCAGGAAGAGAGCUGUUAUUAUGACGUCAUCUAGAAAAAUCCCAAAGCAGCCAAUCGAGUCAAGCUGAUGCUUCCAGCCCCCCGCCCCAGAGGCGCUCCCUUCGCACUCCCCAUCCUGAGCGACACAGCAUCACAUGGCAGCGGGAGUGAAGCCAAGAACUAGACGGGCACUUGAUUCAGCACAGUGGCUCCGGCUGCCAAGUAGGCUUUUGGAAAAUGUCUUGCUCCCCCCCACCGCCUCCCUGCCUCCUGGAGCAUAUUUUGGACGCCUACUUGUCAUAUUGCAAAAUGUAUGUGACAAAACAAUCUGGGAUCUCGCUGACAAUUAUUCCCUUCAUGCCGCGCCUCGGAGUCUCUUGGCCGAGGGUGCGUGCCAGCCUCAGGGGCCCUGGCACGAAGGCUAGGCGAGGAAGAAGCCCUGCCCAGCAGGAGGGGCUGGAGGGGCUGGGGCGAGAGCAGGGACCCACGUUACUCCAGAUGGGUCUCUUCCGUUGUGACCCAGCUCAGGCACGUCACAGAAGUUUGCCCUCCUUCUGUGGGCGACAGAGCGAAGCGAGACCAAGAGAAACAACAGACAACGGCAACAGUAGACAUUUAUUACCCCCUUUAUUACUCUCCUAAGGGUGCUGUAACCGAUCACCCCAAAGUGGGUGGCUUAACACAAUAGAAACUUAUCCUCUCACAGUUCUGGAGGCAGGGGUUUGAAAUCAAGGAGCUGGCAGAACCACGUUCCCCUCCGAAGGUUCUAGGGGAGAAUCUUCCUUGUGCCUUCCGGCUGCUAGCGGCCCCAGACGUUCCGCGGCUUGGGGCUGCGUCACUUCGACCUGCCUCUGAUUCCACAGCGUUUUCUCCUCGGUGUACCUUCUGCCCUUCUCUUUUCUUAGAAGGACACCUGCUCUUGGGUUGAGCCCCCACCCUAGUCCAGGAUGAUCUCAUCUUGAAAGCCUUCAUGACGUUUGCAGUAACCCCCUUUCCAAAUAGCACUGUAUUCCUACCGUCUGGGUAGAGGUGUCUUUGGCCGGGCCACCAUUCCAACCGCUGCACGGCCCUUUCUGGGUGGCAGGUGCCGGACGAAGGAUGUAGGACCUAACCACUCCCAUGACAGCCUUAGGAGCCUGCCCCGUUUUCAGCCCCAUGUUCAGAUGAGGAGCCCGAGCUGUCUCACACACUAUUCGUGACGAUCCUUUGUUCUUCACUCCGCCCUAUGCAACCGAGACUAUUUGUGACUGUCGUUUUACAGACGGAGAUCGAGCUGAGGCUUAGAUUUUGUAACUUGCCCGGCCGCUAGUGGAAGGGCUGUUCCGUACUGUAGCUUUGAUUUUUCUCAGACGAACUGGAUGGAGAGAAAUAACUCGUAUUCCUUCUGCCAGGCUAUCUCAGAAAGUAUUUGCUGGAUGGAUAGCCACUUGAAGAUGAAGCGUGUCUCAAGGAGCUCAGGGAUUUCUCCUUCCUCUCGCUUCCUGCCGGGAAGAGGUGCGAAUACGGUUGCCAAAAUCCCCACGAGGCCCAGAGGGGCAGGGGGCAGAAGAUCCCCAACUGGCUGGCCUGCGUCCUCUCCUCCUUGCCGAAAACUGCAGCAACUGUGUGAUGCUCGAGGCUGGCGGGAGCCGCCCAGCGCAGAGCUGUGAAUUUGCCCAGGGCCAGAAAUGGCUUUCACCCUGGGGAGGCCCAGCACUGUCAUCCAGGGCUACUUUGGGAAGACAAACCCAGUGAGUCUGCACUGGUCCCGGGAAUGCUGGAAUGGGAUUCGUUGGUCACUUGCAGCGCAUCAUGCUCUGAGAUGGGUCCUUUAUGCAGACGUGAUCCCGUCUGGUCCUCAGAUACUAUUGUCUCUACUCAGGGCCGCUUCUAAGGUGUGUAGGGUGGGGGCCAAGAGGGCUAACGAGGCACCAAGCCCUGUGUUUAAAUGUGUGAAAGGAGACAGGUCACACACUGUGGGCGCCCCACCCACAUAUCUGGCUCAGUCCAACCCCCUUCCCCCAACAGCUGUCCCUGGGCCUUAAGGUGUGCCUGCUAAUGGAACGGUGUAUUCUCAGGAGAGGAACACCCUCCUACACUCUGGAGGCAGGCCCCGUGACAUUUGGGCAGGGGACUCUGGAGUCUUGUGUACCUGGAGUAUAGGGUGGGCACGUUCCCUCGGUCCCCCUGGCCCCCUGUCCACUGGGGAGGAUGUGUGUGGAGGCAGAGGAAGAAAUUGGGUCCCUCUAAAGUGCCAGGGCUCUUGUCUGGCUUUGGGUGCUCUGUCUCCAUUGUUUCACCCACAACUGAAUUAAACAAGAGUUAAUGUAUUCAC
Herpailurus yagouaroundi (jaguarundi) is the source of this 2478-nucleotide long non-coding RNA. RefSeq lists it as uncharacterized. The record is from RefSeq and is a predicted model, not a curated record. Lineage: Eukaryota; Metazoa; Chordata; Mammalia; Carnivora; Felidae. The transcript has 2 exons.